This is a long non-coding RNA of Aricia agestis (brown argus), 86 nucleotides long. RefSeq lists it as uncharacterized. NCBI's taxonomy places the organism in Eukaryota, Metazoa, Arthropoda, Insecta, Lepidoptera, Lycaenidae. The transcript has 3 exons. The record is from RefSeq and is a predicted model, not a curated record.
UAUAAAUAUAAUGUAUACGUAUGAGCGGUUAUAGUUUUAGUUAAAUAUGGCGUCCUUAAACAGAGAUUUGACAUUUCGCACUGUAG